Molecule: ribosomal RNA, 228 nt
Filed under: uncultured bacterium
Lineage: Bacteria
Description: partial 16S ribosomal RNA
Rfam family: Bacterial small subunit ribosomal RNA
Source: RNAcentral
UACCCUUGACAUGCCUGGAAUCUUGCAGAGAUGUGAGAGUGCUCGAAAGAGAGCCAGGACACAGGUGCUGCAUGGCCGUCGUCAGCUCGUGUCGUGAGAUGUUGGGUUAAGUCCCGCAACGAGCGCAACCCUUGUCAUUAGUUGCUACGAAAGGGCACUCUAAUGAGACUGCCGGUGACAAACCGGAGGAAGGUGGGGAUGACGUCAGGUCCUCAUGGCCCUUAUGGG